UACGGAGGGGGCCAGCGUUGUUCGGAAUUAUUGGGCGUAAAGGGCGCGUAGGCGGCGUGGUAAGUCGGGCGUGAAAUCCCUCGGCUCAACCGAGGAAUUGCCUCCGAAACUGCCGUGCUUGAGUCCCGGAGAGGGUAGCGGAAUUCCCAGUGUAGCGGUGAAAUGCGUAGAUAUUGGGAGGAACACCAGUGGCGAAGGCGGCUACCUGGACGGGUACUGACGCUGAGGCGCGAAAGCGUGGGGAGCAAACAGG
RNAcentral lists this ribosomal RNA (253 nucleotides) under uncultured Acidobacteriota bacterium. Its description in RNAcentral is "uncultured Acidobacteria bacterium partial 16S ribosomal RNA". It matches the Rfam family "Bacterial small subunit ribosomal RNA", at positions 524 to 776 of the family's 1533-position model. Lineage: Bacteria; Pseudomonadati; Acidobacteriota. The record is from RNAcentral.